AUGAAUCAAGAUUCUUCUAGAGUGGAGCAAAUUCUGUUAGCAAUUCCUGCAUUAUCAGCUAUUAGAACAGUUGAUGAGCCCUAUAUGGGUCACGAGUUCGUAUCAGGAGCUGAAGUACAUGUGUUUUAUAAUGCAUAUGCUGCACGUGUUAGAUUCGUCAUACGUGUAAGUAAGCUGUCACAGAUCACUAGAUUUUAA
This is a non-coding RNA of Vicia faba (fava bean), 198 nucleotides long. Lineage: Eukaryota; Viridiplantae; Streptophyta; Magnoliopsida; Fabales; Fabaceae. The record is from the annotation of a GenBank genome assembly.